AUUGAACGCUGGCGGCGUGCCUAACACAUGCAAGUCGCACGCGAAAGGGGGCAACCCCAAGUAGAGUGGCGGACGGGUGAGUAACGCGUAGGAAUCUACCUAGUAGUGGGGGACAACCCGGCGAAAGCCGGGCUAACACCGCAUACGACCUAAGGGUGAAAGCAGGGGAUCGAAAGACCUUGCGCUAUUAGAUGAGCCUGCGUCCGAUUAGCUAGUUGGUGAGGUAACGGCUCACCAAGGCGACGAUCGGUAACUGGUUUGAGAGAACGACCAGUCACAUUGGGACUGGGACACGGCCCAAACUCCUACGGGAGGCAGCAGUGGGGAAUAUUGGACAAUGGGGGCAACCCUGAUCCAGCGACGCCGCGUGUGUGAAGAAGGCCUUCGGGUUGUAAAGCACUUUCGGCAGGGACAAACAAGACGGAGCUAACAUCUCCGUUCCUGAUGGUACCUGAAGAAGAAGCACCGGCUAACUCUGUGCCAGCAGCCGCCGUAA
RNAcentral lists this ribosomal RNA (496 nucleotides) under uncultured bacterium. RNAcentral's name for it is "partial 16S ribosomal RNA". It matches the Rfam family "Bacterial small subunit ribosomal RNA", at positions 29 to 523 of the family's 1533-position model. The record is from RNAcentral.